UUCCUAGAUGGGAUGGCAGCCGGGCAGA
Molecule: non-coding RNA, 28 nt
Filed under: Homo sapiens (human)
Lineage: Eukaryota; Metazoa; Chordata; Mammalia; Primates; Hominidae
Source: RNAcentral